AUUGAACGCUGGCGGCAGGCCUAACACAUGCAAGUCGAGCGGAUGAAGGGAGCUUGCUCCUGGAUUCAGCGGCGGACGGGUGAGUAAUGCCUAGGAAUCUGCCUGGUAGUGGGGGAUAACGUCCGGAAACGGGCGCUAAUACCGCAUACGUCCUGAGGUAGAAAGUGGGGGAUCUUCGGACCUCACGCUAUCAGAUGAGCCUAGGUCGGAUUAGCUAGUUGGUGGGGUAAAGGCCUACCAAGGCGACGAUCCGUAACUGGUCUGAGAGGAUGAUCAGUCACACUGGAACUGAGACACGGUCCAGACUCCUACGGGAGGCAGCAGUGGGGAAUAUUGGACAAUGGGCGAAAGCCUGAUCCAGCCAUGCCGCGUGUGUGAAGAAGGUCUUCGGAUUGUAAAGCACUUUAAGUUGGGAGGAAGGGCAGUAAGUUAAUACCUUGAUGUUUUGACGUUACCAACAGAAUGAGCACCGGCUAACUUCGUG
This 484-nucleotide ribosomal RNA is filed under the name uncultured bacterium. RNAcentral's name for it is "partial 16S ribosomal RNA". It matches the Rfam family "Bacterial small subunit ribosomal RNA", at positions 30 to 507 of the family's 1533-position model. The record is from RNAcentral.